RNAcentral lists this ribosomal RNA (468 nucleotides) under uncultured bacterium. RNAcentral's name for it is "partial 16S ribosomal RNA". It matches the Rfam family "Bacterial small subunit ribosomal RNA", at positions 28 to 507 of the family's 1533-position model. The record is from RNAcentral.
GACGAACGCUGGCGGCGUGCUUAACACAUGCCAGUCGAACGGAAAGGCCCUGCUUUUGUGGGGUGCUCGAGUGGCGAACGGGUGAGUAACACGUGAGUAACCUGCCCUUGACUUUGGGAUAACUUCAGGAAACUGGGGCUAAUACCGGAUAGGAGCUCCUGCUGCAUGGUGGGGGUUGGAAAGUUUCGGCGGUUGGGGAUGGACUCGCGGCUUAUCAGCUUGUUGGUGGGGUAGUGGCUUACCAAGGCGUUGACGGGUAGCCGGCCUGAGAGGGGGACCGGCCACAUUGGGACUGAGAUACGGCCCAGACUCCUACGGGAGGCAGCAGUGGGGAAUAUUGCACAAUGGGCGGAAGCCUGAUGCAGCAACGCCGCGUGCGGGAUGACGGCCUUCGGGUUGUAAACCGCUUUCGCCUGUGACGAAGCGUGAGUGACGGUAAUGGGUAAAGAAGCACCGGCUAACUACGUG